This 275-nucleotide long non-coding RNA is filed under the name Mytilus galloprovincialis (Mediterranean mussel). Lineage: Eukaryota; Metazoa; Mollusca; Bivalvia; Mytilida; Mytilidae. The record is from RNAcentral.
CAUGUGUUACCUUUCCACGUCAGUUUUAAUCUAGCGGCGUACUACAGUACAUGAUAUAUAAGGCAUGAAGAUGUUAUUGUUACAGAUCAGCUAAAUUAUCUAUAGUAAAGGAUCCUACAAAUUAAUGUAAGAUACAGUCACAGAAAAUAAUUAUAUUCAUAAGUACGUCUGAGUCAGUGACAACCCUACAACAGAUGUAUCCAUCGGAUCGCCAUCAAUGAUGGUGAUACAUGGCUGUGUACAUAAUGUAUAUACAACUCGUCUAAACAUCAACC